This 576-nucleotide ribosomal RNA is filed under the name uncultured eukaryote. RNAcentral's name for it is "SSU rRNA". It matches the Rfam family "Eukaryotic small subunit ribosomal RNA", at positions 165 to 758 of the family's 1831-position model. The record is from RNAcentral.
UAAUACGUGCGUCAAUACUCUUCGGAGUAGUAUUUAUUAGAUGGAAACCAACUGCUUCGGCAUGAUGUGGUGAUUCAUAAUAAGUUUGCGGAUCGCAUGGCUUUGCCGGCGAUGGAUCAUUCAAAUUUCUUCCCUAUCAACUUUCGAUGUUUGGGUAUUGGCCAAACAUGGUUGCAACGGGUAACGGAGGGUUAGGGCUCGACCCCGGAGAAGGAGCCUGAGAAACGGCUACUACAUCCAAGGAAGGCAGCAGGCGCGCAAAUUACCCAAUCCCGACUCGGGGAGGUAGUGACAAUAAAUACUGAUACAGGGCCCUUUCGGGCCUUGUAAUUGGAAUGAGUACAAUUUAAAUCCCUUAACGAGGAACAAUUGGAGGGCAAGUCUGGUGCCAGCAGCCGCGGUGAUUCCAGCUCCAAUAGCGUAUAUUAAAGUUGUUGUGGUUAAAAAGCUCGUAGUUGAACCUUGGGCCUGGCUGGCCGGUCCGCCUCACCGCGUGCACUGGUCCGGCCGGGCCUUUCCCUCUGUGGAACCCCAUACCCUUCACUGGGCGUGGCGGGGAAACAGGACAUUUACUUU